This 88-nucleotide transfer RNA is filed under the name Nitrososphaeria archaeon. RNAcentral describes it as "tRNA-Met". It matches the Rfam family "tRNA". From Rfam's summary of the family: Transfer RNA (tRNA) molecules are approximately 80 nucleotides in length. Their secondary structure includes four short double-helical elements and three loops (D, anti-codon, and T loops). Lineage: Archaea; Thermoproteati; Nitrososphaerota; Nitrososphaeria. The record is from RNAcentral.
GCCGGGGUACCUCAGCUGGCCAGAGGCUCACGGCCACAGGGCCGCGCUCAUAACGCGGUUGUCGUGGGUUCGAAUCCCACCCCCGGCA